This 72-nucleotide transfer RNA is filed under the name Spirochaetia bacterium. RNAcentral's name for it is "tRNA-Trp". Lineage: Bacteria; Pseudomonadati; Spirochaetota; Spirochaetia. The record is from RNAcentral.
UCUUUCCAGGGGUACAGGGUAUCGAAGUCUUCCACCGACUUCGGGUGCAGGUUCCACAUUUGCAGGAAGAUC